UACGUAGGUGGCAAGCGUUAUCCGGAAUUAUUGGGCGUAAAGCGCGCGUAGGCGGUUUCUUAAGUCUGAUGUGAAAGCCCCCGGCUCAACCGGGGAGGGUCAUUGGAAACUGGGGAACUUGAGUACAGAAGAGGAGAGUGGAAUUCCAUGUGUAGCGGUGAAAUGCGCAGAGAUAUGGAGGAACACCAGUGGCGAAGGCGGCUCUCUGGUCUGAAACUGACGCUGAGGUGCGAAAGCGUGGGGAUCAAACAGG
RNAcentral lists this ribosomal RNA (253 nucleotides) under uncultured bacterium. RNAcentral describes it as "partial 16S ribosomal RNA". It matches the Rfam family "Bacterial small subunit ribosomal RNA", at positions 524 to 776 of the family's 1533-position model. The record is from RNAcentral.